UACGGCUUCUUUGAGAAGAGAAUACAAUACU
RNAcentral lists this non-coding RNA (31 nucleotides) under Rattus norvegicus (Norway rat). The record is from RNAcentral. Lineage: Eukaryota; Metazoa; Chordata; Mammalia; Rodentia; Muridae.